AGACUGGCGGGGAGACUUGAAACCGCUCCGGUACUCCGAUUGGUCCCCUCGCAGAAAGGGGGCGUGGCCCCUCCUUACUAUGCGGUGCAAGGACCCAACAACAUUCCAGUCGCCUGGGCCACGCCCCCGGGCCACUCCCCGCUCGCUGGGCCGCCGCCUCCCCGUCCCCUCGGCCACACCCCCUUCCCAACUACUUAAAAGGCCACUCCAGAGAGUGUCCCUGUUCGGUGCCCCGGUGUCCCUGUUUCCCUGCGAUGUUGGGAGAGGGCUCUAUGGUUCCACCGUGUGGAAUCUGGGCAGAUGGAGAAGCCAAACCUGGGUUCGAGUCUAUUUCGGUAUUUCCUGCUUAGAACCCAGUGCCUUAUGUAAGACUACCGCUGAUGAAUCCGGAAAGGAGUGUGUAGGGGAUGAUGGAACAAGGACUACGGGAUUGACCUCGGGACCCGAUGACCUCCACACUAAAAUGACACCUUAUGUGCAAGUCGACUCUGAUGCUCAAACUCACGUCAUGGAGGCUUUCGCGGGAAGAGUUCUUACUGACUGAGCCGUCCUGUUGCCCCAUUUGAAGUGCUUGUUGGCCAUCUGUCCUCUGUGAGAUCCCUUAGGAGACAGGGAUCUGCCCAGGUCCGGGCUGAUGAGACGGAUAAAGCAGUCAGAUUGCAAUGGGUGACUCAAAGGAACUUACUGUGAACUUCAGUGGAGCUCACCCUGCUAAGGAAGGUCAAGACCUUAUCGUGGGGGGACAGGGACAGCUGGUGUAGCCUCCCUACUCUAGAUCUCACAGCCUGAUAUUUGUCUCUCUUAAUCUUGCCCAAGUAGGUCAAAGCCUACAUGGUACUAUUGUCGUGAUAUGUACAUACCCGUGUUCCUUAGGAGUGUGCAUGCUUGCCUGCUCCUACACACAAGUACUUUUUUUUUUUACAUCAUUUUAAUGAAAAUGCUGUUUUUUCCCAAAUGAAAGCGGCUGUUUGAGAAGCUCUGUGUUAUGCUUAUGUAAUUCCAAAUGUCUGAGUUUGGGUAGAUGCUAAUUCAUUAACAGAAAGGAAGUCGGGGGAGUUCUGGCACCUUCACCUGCCACCAUUAAAACAAUAGGAUCGGCCAGGUAGAUCUUAAUGGGCUGCUAAGGGACCUAGUUAGAUUUUGGCCCUGUCCCCUUGCACGGUAGUUCAGUGAUAGUGGGGACAGGACUGGGUACUGAGGGAGACCGCUCAUGUUCAUUUCCUCAUCCAUAGAUACAGUCUGUCCCCUCAUAUAGAGUACUUCCAUAUAUAUUGUCUGACUCAUCUGAUGUUUCAUUUCAAGGUUAGCAGAAUAGAUAUGUUAAUCUUACAGGAGAAGGAACAUGGUCUGGAAAGGUUAAUUGAUUCACCUGAGAUCUUAUGAAGAAGCAGCAACAGUGGAGUGUGGUGGCAUACACCAGUAGUCCCAGCACCGGGGAAACUGAGGCAGGGAUUUCAUGAGUUCAAGUCUUUCUACACACCUUAUUUAGGAACUGCCUGCCAACUAAAAAGGCCGCUUGAGACUGGGAACUUUCCAGUUCAUUAUUGGAUUUCUUGUGUCUUAUGAAUAACCUGACAGAACAAGAGGUAUGUUUGCUCCACACGUGUUGAAAUCAUGUGUCAGUCACUGUUCUUUUGUCCAGGGGUGCUCAUAGCCGGGAAUACAUUUUAUAUUGUGAGACAAUAAUAGUAAAUACUUCAUCAGAGUACUCAUCUUUUGUAUGCGGAUACGGUCUGCUAGUUUCCAUUGUGUGUCAUCUUCCAUUUCUUUGAGUUUUGUUUUUGUUUUUUUGUUUUGUUUUUUCAAGACAGGGCUUCUCUGUAUUGCUUUGGAGCCUGUCCUGGAACUCACUCCAUAGACCAGGCUGACCUUGGACUCACAGAGAUCCACCUGCCUCUGCCUCCCCAUUGCUGGGACUAAAGGUGUGCACCACCAACACCCAGCCUGAAUUUUGAUUUUAAAUCCUGACUAGUGGGAUUGUAAGUAUGUCUCUAUCUGUGGCUUCUAUUUUCUCUUUUAAGUUGCUCUCCAAAUGAAUGCCAUGAUCCAUGUCUUCUAUGUAUCAAGCUCUAGACAUUUCUGAAAGAUGCAGAGGAGGGGUCCCAAAGGAUUCCUUGCUCUGAAGUCAAGGAAGGUUCAUGUAUAACUAGUGAGGGAAAAUAAUAAGCUAGGGACAGAGAGGGGAUGCACCAGGAAGGGGGAAGUUGGAUGAGGGAAGGUCUCUGAGAGGCUCAUCGGGACUCUUCUGCCCAUGGAAUCUAGAAAGGUAGUUAGUGGCAGCCUCACUGGAACCCCCAAACCCACAUAGACAAAGUUUGGGCACCCUUCUGUCCAUAUAUUUCCACUCCAGAAGCCCUCCAGGGUUUCGAUAAAGGGUCCCUUUUCUAAGUUAACGUGGGAGGCAAGUGGCCAUUCUAACUUUUGUCUAACAGCUUUAUUAUCUCUUGCCUACAAAUCCUGGACCAGAUGGCCAAGGUGUGACUUUAACUUAGUUCCAGAGUGACAGGUGGUGGGGUGGAGGAGGCAGCUGGAGAGAUGGCUUAGUGGUAAGAGCACUUGCUCUUGCAGAGGAUCAGGGUUUGAUUCCUAGCACACAUGGGGGUUCAUAACCAUCUGUAACUCCAGUUCCAGGGGCUCUGGUGGCCUCUUGUGGUUUCCAGGGUACUACAUGCAAGUGGUGCACAGGCAUGCCUGUGGGGCCCCCUCCAGCCCCCCCCCCACAAGUGACAAGCAAACCCUGGACUCUCUAGACCCAAAUACCCUACCAGGAGGGGCCCUGUUCCAUUCUCUUUCCCUGACUGUCACUGGCGUGUUGUUGAGAAGUAACCUGGAAACAGCAGCUGUUCUUUCCAGAUUCCCCAGUACUGGGACACGCAUGGGGGCUCGCAUGGCGUGGAGCUGCUACCUUGUCUCCUAUGUGGAUUGAGAUCCUAGGCCCAGCUGAACCAAAGGAAGCAGAAGCGGCGGAAUGGGCUGGAAGAGCUUCCUCUGGGUGUACUUGCUUAUGAUGCCCUUCUAUAAAAAGCAAGUGGGAAAGCCAGGAGAGACCUUCCAUGACCCUCUGAAGUCACUAAAAUGUUUUAUUUACUUAUUUUAAA
Molecule: long non-coding RNA, 3098 nt
Organism: Mesocricetus auratus (golden hamster)
Lineage: Eukaryota; Metazoa; Chordata; Mammalia; Rodentia; Cricetidae
Exons: 2
Source: RefSeq, a predicted model, not a curated record